This 492-nucleotide ribosomal RNA is filed under the name uncultured bacterium. Its description in RNAcentral is "partial 16S ribosomal RNA". It matches the Rfam family "Bacterial small subunit ribosomal RNA", at positions 29 to 507 of the family's 1533-position model. The record is from RNAcentral.
AGUGAACGCUGGCGGUAGGCCUAACACAUGCCAGUCGAACGGCAGCACAGUAAGAGCUUGCUCUUACGGGUGGCGAGUGGCGGACGGGUGAGGAAUACAUCGGAAUCUACUUUUUCGUGGGGGAUAACGUAGGGAAACUUACGCUAAUACCGCAUACGACCUACGGGUGAAAGCAGGGGAUCUUCGGACCUUGCGCGAUUGAAUGAGCCGAUGUCGGAUUAGCUAGUUGGCGGGGUAAAGGCCCACCAAGGCGAGGAUCCGUAGCUGGUCUGAUAGGAUGAUCAGCCACAAUGGAACUGAGACACGGUCCAGACUCCUACGAGAGGCAGCAGUGUGGAAUAUUGGACAAUGGGCGCAAGCCUGAUCCAGCCAUCCCGCGUGGGUGAAGAAGGCCUUCGGGUUGUAAAGACCUUUUGUUGGGAAAGAAAAGCAGCAGGUUAAUACCCCGCUGUUCUGACGGUACCCAAAGAAUAAGCACCGGCUAACUUCGUG